Long non-coding RNA from Bombus huntii, 2609 nucleotides. RefSeq lists it as uncharacterized. The transcript has 2 exons. The record is from RefSeq and is a predicted model, not a curated record. NCBI's taxonomy places the organism in Eukaryota, Metazoa, Arthropoda, Insecta, Hymenoptera, Apidae.
AGGCUUAUCUCGUAACAUUUACUUUUCAUAUUUGAAAAGUUCCAAAGACAGAAAUUUGAUAGAGAUAUUACAUAUACAAGGUGUUCGGUAACUGAUAAUACAAUCCAGCAAUUCUAAUCGUAAAUUUCGUAUUGAAUUGAUCCAACUUCCACUUGUGCUCUUGUAUCCAUAAAUAUGAGUGUUACAAGUUAAGACUGUGAGCACCGUGAUACGGUAUUUUAUGAAAUACGGUUGGAAUUGUAUCAGCAGAUAUGCUACCGAAAGUGAUGCAAAGUCGAGGAUCCUAUGAUAAGGUUAGGAUUAUUGUCUGCGAGGAUGAAUCUGAUGCGAAGUCACGGCAGCUGUAGGAAAAGUCACGUGCGAGCUGUUACGUCGCGUAACACUCUACCUAGACCAGGCCACACACCGCGGGCAAGAUGGCAACCAGAUGUCUUCGGAUACUCACUACGUACCCUCAAUAGUCUCAAGUAUCUUCCAUAAAUCUUAGGAAUUUCCUAGCCGAGGUCCUUCAAACUGAACAAACGUCUGUUUCCGAAGCAUUUCUAAAGACCUUUGUCUACUACGGCUUGACAAGGGAAAGUUGGUUUUUCUCACGUAUGAUGCAACUUUCCUCCCACUAACCACUUUCUCUCGAGGGCGGUUAAGACCCUUCGUUUAACCAAUUAACAACGAAGACUAUUUCCCUCACUCUCUUAGCCAAAAUCGUCACCAACAAAUCCGAUGGUUCCGUGCGCUAGACACACCCAUCCUUAGCUUUCCUCCGCCACAGCAUCGUCUCCGAACAUCACUGAUUUUACAUCCUUCGAACAAUCAACAUCCUUCGACCGGGUUUACACCCGAAGAUCAGUCUCAAUCAAGCAUCUCGUCAAGCGGUCAACAAUUCGAAUACAGUGAGUCGACAAAUCCAUCAGUAUACGCGAUAAUCCGUCUAGAGACUCAGGUCGCACUCAUUCGUAGUCAUCUCAUAGCAAAUAUUCAUUUUGUGUUACACCGAAGUUGUUGGUUUGUGAAAAUAUAUAAUAACCUGUUAGCAGCAGCGUUAUCUUUAAUUUAACUACCCUUAUUAUCCUAAAAGAAAUAAGGGAUCGAGCGAUUCGCGGCGUCGAUUAGCAAAUCGUAACGGGAAUUUAGGACUCCCGUUGGCGCGCUUCUUCGAGAUCGUGUCUCCCCACGAACGUGCGAAAACACGAGCGCCUCUGGCGCAACAAAAAGAAGCCCAAGGAGGUGAGUUCUAAGUUAACGAACAAACUCGAUCCGAAAUCCGGAUGUAAGUAUAAUUAUGUAUUUUCUAAGUACGCAUGCCAUGUGGAAUUAUCAUAAACAGUUAUAAAUGAUAAUCGGUAACCAUGAUAUUUAAUCAAUGAAUUUGUUGUCAAAACUGUUUUGCACGAUCAAAACAUUUAUUUCGCCGCUCCAAAAUUCACACUACGGAGAACCGCAAAGAAAGAUGCAUGACAUUAUUAAAAUUCCUUACGGAACGCCACAAAACUCCGAAGAUUAUAAGAAUAUCAAGAUAGAAUGCGUGCGCCAACUGGAAAGAAUAUGCAUUGAACAGGAAAUGGAUAGAGAGUACUAGAUUUUACAGACACUAAAAUUUGCAGACGAUCAAUAACUACAUAUUUAUGACAGUUUAAAAUCUCGACGAAAAAAUAAGUAUUAUUUCCGAACUAAAUAUAACACAAUUUCAGGAGUCAAAGUCGUCGCAGAUCGGCGAUCUGCGGACGAUCCCGCGAACAGCUGCACGUCAAUACGAAAAAGUUUAUAUAAGAAUGUCGCGAAUUUCAUAAAUAGCCAUUAGUUAUUUCAUUACUUCAUGACGGACUAUAAGAUAUAAGUACCUAAGAUUACUGGGUACAGCUAACACUCAACAGAUACAUGUAAAAAAGGGAAGGAGAACAAAACGUUCAUCAGACGCACAUUGUCAACAGUAACAGCAUUUAUGUACAAUUCAAAUGACAAAUAAAAAUAUAGUGGAAGUGGAUUGGAUUAGGGCUCUGGCAAGGUCUCGUAUGUAGCCACUUCACGCGGUAAAAACUGCCAGCUGAUAUUUGUUUUCAGAAAUUAAUCUGUAGAAGACGAUGCCAAGCUAAAAACAGCGUAAGGCGUCGUAAAAUGUAUACGUACCAGUUUUAAUUAUGUAAUAAACAUAUCUAGGCUAAGUCUAUUGUACGCACUUUACGCACAAAGACGUCCUUUUUUAUAUUUAAAGGGAAAAUAUAAAACUCCGUUUUCUAAUCCAUUUCUUUAUUAAAUAGUAUGAUCCAUUUAAUAGAGUGUCCAAAGUUCUAUUCCAUAAAACAUUCCUACAUACAUCUUGAUUUUACCAUAUUGCAUUAAGAUUCACAAUCGUUCUAAUGAGGUCAUCGGUUCUUACAUUCCUUUGUAUAAAUGGUAAUAACCUAAUAGUAAUAAUAAUGUAGAUACAAAACGUUAAUCGCAUAUCUAACAACAUAUGUCUUCAACUACUCUGAUACUUGCAAGGUAGGAGUAACACACUGAUUUUUUCGCCAUUGUACAUUGAUAUAAUGAUGUGAUCAGGCGUGAAGUUCAUUAAAAUCGGCAUGUUACAGCAUCUAAGUAAUGACUAACUGUGAGUCAAUCCCGCUGUG